This 302-nucleotide long non-coding RNA is filed under the name Sorghum bicolor (sorghum). Its description in RNAcentral is "long non-coding RNA (SBIC_LNC003004)". The record is from RNAcentral. Lineage: Eukaryota; Viridiplantae; Streptophyta; Magnoliopsida; Poales; Poaceae.
GACCCCUAGGAGCUUGUCAUGUGGUUAAAUCAAGAUUUCACUUGCACGUUCACUCAUACAUGCUACUUCUACUCCGGAAGUACCAUCCACAUAUAUCCAUCCAUUUCCAUCUCUAGAACCACCAAAAAAAUAUUCUACUCCUAAUCCGGGAGAGAAUAACCAAAAAUAUUUCUGUUUUUCCCUUGUGAAAUAAAUGCUCAAGUUAUCUUGUUACUACCACUUGCUAUAUUAUCUCAAGAGAUGAGUGCUCUAAAAAAAAGAGAGAUACGAGGAAAUAAAAAGGAGCAAGUGCUCGGAACCUG